AUCAAUCUGCUUUUCUACUGUUCAUCCACAUGGUUGAUUUUCUUCACAGAUUCACAGCAUACGUGUGUUUGUGUUUUAGGAGUGUCUGCAUAUAUGUGGGGGGUGGUGUUGAUAUGUAGAAGUUUUUUUAACCUUUGCUUUUUGUCAACAGUCCGAGUUUGUGUCUACCAAGCCUUCUUUUUACUAUUUUAAGCUAAUUAGGUUUGUGUUUCUCUCACCCAUGUAUACUUUACAUCAGAGACAAUGUAAAGUAUGUUUGUGCCCAUGAUGUCACUGGUUGCUUGCGGCUUCAUGUGGGUGCUAGGUGUUGUUUCAGUCCACGUGGGUUUUUUUUUUUCCUCUCUUUUAAUAGUUAUUCAAUCUCAUGUAAGCAGUUAAUGCAAAUAUUGUUAGCAUUACAGGUCAUGCAGUGCUGUAACAUUUUUUUAAAUGUUGCACCUACUUUACAAUUAAAACAUUGGUCACUCAUACUUGAAUUUUGCCCACACAGCCAUUUCUUUAUCUUUGUAUUAAAGCCAAUUCAUUUUUUUUAAAUGAAGCCUAGCCCUUUGACCUUAGUACAUUUUUUAUUUCCGAAAAUAAACUUUUUUUCAACCAAUCUGAGAAUGGAAACAGAAAGAAAAGUUUUUGCACCUUUAGAAACGUAAUAGUCCCUCUUGGAAAAGGAAAUCUAAUUUUGCUUUGAGCCCUUUAAAAGUUUUAGGAAGCACAAGGAGAAUAAACUACACUUUUCAGUGGUUUUUAAAGAUUAUUUCAAAUGUGUGAGACCUAAUUGAGCAACUUUUGUUUAAUUUGUCUUGUUUGUAGCAUUAAAAGCAAUCGGUUUUUAUUUAUUUAGAGGGACAUUUUUGGCUUGUACUUUUCAGUCUCAUUGUGCAUGUAAAUUCUUUGAGAAGAAUACUCAUCCCUUGUGAUGUCAUGGGCCACUUUUAGUCUUUCAUUUGAACCCUGACUUUGAGUUAUUUGCUAUGUCUGUGUUCUAAGUAAACACAGUUUCUUUUUUUGAACAUAACACUGCAGAAUGUGGGGAGAAGUAGAGGGUGGUUAUUCUGCUUUCUGUAAGUUUUAUGAAGAUUCUCAGCUGACUUAUCCCAUGAGGUGAUUCUUUUUUCAUUUCAGACCACAGUAACACGUUUUCGUUAACUUUGGUGAUCUUCCAUGCAGUUUGCAAUGUGCCCUUGUAAGCCACAAGUGGUUUUGCAUUGAUAUUUUUAAAUCUAAAAUAUUAAGAUGCUGGUGACAUUGCUCUUUCUGUAAAGAAAGCCAAGAUUCUAGACCUUACCAAAAAUCUGAUAUCCUGUUCGUUUUGCCCAUUUAUGCCCAAAUGGUGUAAUGCAAGACUCAAGACUUUUCAAUGUAAUGUAUAAAAUGAGUUGUGCAUUACUUGAUUCAUUUGGGGACCAGAAGCAAAUAAUAUCAAUCAGCCAGAACUGUAAUAUUGAAUUAGUCUAUCUUUUUCUUUCAUUCACUCUAUCACAUUUGCAUUAGCCAAAGAGAUAAGAACAUUAGUAAUUCAUAUGUGUAAACAACCCAGAAGUGAAUAUUCAAUCAGUGAGCCAAAAAGCAAUAAACAACUCAAGCAUGGGAAAUCCUGCUAACAGUGGGAAGUCUGAUAUAGAAAAAAAUAUAUAAAAAGCAUUAUCUUCAAAUAUGAAAGAUUAACUUGUAUCUACUGUAAAUAUGUAUUAUCAGCCUUAUCUGCUUUUAUACACACUGUGUGUGUACUGCAGUGACCUUUUAUAAACCGAAAAAAUGGUUGAUUUAAUAAUUUGUUAUGUAAAUACAAAGUUGUCUAUAAAUUGGAAAAUUUGAUGCCAGAUGGCUUCACAAUAUACAAAUGUGUUUUGUAACAUCAUGCCUUUAUGGAUUAAGUCUAAAUACACUGGAUUGUCUGUGUAGAAGAGUAGCAAUCUACAUUUCACCUGCAUAUCAAAUGGAUAUUUUUGUCCAAAUGGUUAUACUUUAGGAAAAGAAAAUGACCUGAACAUUUUCAGUGUGAAACAAAUAUGGUUUUGAAUUCACCAAAACUUCUUUUCAUGUUCAAGAGUCUGUUCAGUUCCACACUAAAUGACUCGUAUUAAGAGAUUUCCAUAGCAGAUUCAUGGGUUUGGGGCUGGGAUCUGCCUAGGAAGCCUCCCCAAACUGAAAUAUUCUAUUGUAGAGAUAGGUUGUGCAUCUUAAUUUCUAAAUCACAGGCAGGGGAAGAACCACAGUCUUCUUAUUGCUUUUUAAUUUAUUCUUCUCUUCUUUGUUUCCAUACAUCAUGGAAAACACCACACAGGCAAAUAUCUCUGGGGGUGUGAGGUGGGGCGGGGGUGGGAGACAAAGUGAUAUUUGAAAACCACUGCAUUAGUAGAAUCAGUGAUGGAACAUAUGUCUGGGUGAAAUGUAGACAUGUUUGGCAUGCUGUUAGCAACAGGAAACUGAUUCCUAGAUCAAAGUCUGAAACAAAACCCAUGCCAAAGGAGUGCUUCUCAGUCCCUGGUUAAGGAAGUGAAUACAUUGGCUUCAGUUCCAUUUUGGACACAUUUGUCACUUUUGAUCAUAAGACUGACCCAGGACAAACAUCUUUGGAGAACUCCCAGGUAGGGCGAAGAAGAAUUACUGCCAUCCUGUGGUUGGGAGUUUGGGAGAAGACUGAUGGCUCACUUGGGUGGAAGGCUUCCCAGUGAUAGUGUAGCUGUCUCCUUGAGUCCAGAUGAGGAGUUUGGUUAAGAGGAUGUGUAUGUAUGUACGUUUAUAUGUAUCUAUUUCUUCAGCUCUCUCUAGUAGCCUGGUUCAGGUAUUAGCAGUUUUUGUGGGAUCCUCUUUUAAGUUCUGACAGAAACAGCUCUGUAGAUCCUGGAGAUAUCAUUGUGCAUUUAUUCAUUCAGUAGAUAUUUACUGAGUCCCACUCUAUGCCACACCCUAUCUGCAGCAAAGUGAGUAAGACACCUGUUUUCUGCCCUCACAGAGCUGCCUAAGGAGGAGGCCACUUAAGCAUGUAAGUAUGAUGAAGGGUGAUAAGGGCUGGGGCGAGGGAAGCACAUCACAGGCCCCUGGCCCAGUUUAAUGGGUGUGAGGGCUUGAGUGAGGACCAGGGAAAGAUGACUCAGUAUUAGACAAAGGAGAAGUGUGUGGCCUGGGGGAAGGUAAAGGAGAGCUUGUUCCAGGCAGAGGGAAGGGCUUGUGUGAGGCUGGAGGUUAGAGGAAGCAGGAGAGAAGAAUAGUUAUGGAGGAAAUUGCAAUGGGAGAGAAGUGGAGCAAAGAGCAAAGCGGGGUCUUGGCGCUUCGCACCAACACGGCACUGCAGCCUGGCAGAAAUGGGGACUCGUGGGUUUUUCAGGAGGAGGCGAUGUGAUCAUGUUUGUGUUUUAGAAAGAUUAAUCUGACUGUAAGGUGAAGGAAUGGGCAGCCGGAAGGGAACAUCAAGUGCAGCAUUUUUUAAAUAAUUGAUUUACGGUAUUAAUUUCAUAGUGAUUCAAGAUUUUUAUAGAUUAUACUCCAAAGUUCUUAUAAAAUAUUGGCUAUAUUCCAGGUGCAGCAUUUCUUAAAAGUAAAAUUUUUUAAAGAUCUGGGCCCACCAUAAUUCUUCAUAUUACAUUUAUUGAGCCAGUUCCGUUCCAGUCCUGAGAGGUAUGUAUAUAACCAUCUUUGUGUAAAGUCACUUUAACAGUCAUGAAGAAAUGCUGUGUAGUGCACUUACAGUGUCUGCCAACAACAUGAUGCCCUAUUUCUGUCACACAAAUUAGGGCUCUAUUGGUAGAGCAAUAAUGUUUCUCCUUUGGUGAUAAGAGGUUGGGAAUGUUGGAAAUCCCAAAGCAUUUUGUGAGAUUGUUAGAAAACAAGGCCUGCUUCCUGGAAUGCACAGGUAGGUAUAGGUCUGGUCCAGCCACUUGGCACCAUAUCCCUUCAUCUUACACAUCUCACUGAAAAAGGAAGCUUCAGAGGAGCAUGCACGAUGUCAGAGGUAUCAGGUGAGCACCAAAGGUUAUGGAAGCACAGGAACAUGGGACCACGGGAGUCAGGCCAUCUGGCUACAAGGACCUCUGCCCCACAGCAGGGGAGACCACAAUGGCCUUUCAUCAUCCAUUCCGGCCGGUGAUUAUACACAUGCCCUGCAAAGUAUUCCCAACCACAAUUAGUCACCUCCUACAUUCAAUGAACAUUGAACUUAAGGGCUUUUCAAAGCUAAUUAUCUGGGGUGGGGUUUUUUUGUUUUUUGGGUUUUUUAAAGGCGGAACCAAUGCAAUAACAGGCAUCCAAUCCUAUGAUCCAGACACCAACAAAUAGCCCUUCUCUCUAGACAGGGUCUUGUACACAGGAAAUGGAGCCUCAACAGGGAGGCAGCCUGUUAUAAUGGUUACAAAUUGUUCUUCUGAGGGGGUCGUCUAUAUUCCCAUCUAGGCUAUGCCACUAACUAGUUGUUUGACUUUGGGCAGGUUACUUAACCUAUCUGUGUGUAGCUUCCUCAUCUAAAAAAAAGAGGGAUAAUAACAACACUUCCUUCCUGGGGUUGCUUAGAGGAUUGAAUGAGAUAACGCAGAUAAACUCUUAGUGCCUGGCACAUAGCGGGCACUCAGGGACUGGUAAUUAAGCUGCAGUUGGAAAGAUUCAGAUCAGAAAAGGGAACUUGCUGCCAGGGAAAGCGGUUGUCAAACACAAGGAGGAGCCCUGUGUAGAAUUGCUGUCUCCCCAGGAAGCCUUUAAAGGUGGAGUGGUUUACCUGUCCCGAGGCCUUUUCUGGUGCUUUCCAUUUAGCCCAGAGUUUCAGAAUCUGCUACCUGGGGUAUUCCUUAGAAUUCCAUUGUCUGUAGUGCUACAUGCAGAAAUGGACCAGCAAAAUGAUCUCCCAAUAAACUAGUCUGGAAAAUGAUUUCUCCAAGAAGUGUAUAGGCAGCACAGAAACAGAACUUCUAACCUUCAGCCACAAAGUGAAGUUAGAACUGGCCCUUCGAAUAAGUAGCUCAAGCUAUGAAAAGUUAAAUAAGUUAUAAGCAACUAAAUCAGGGAAUGCAAAGUUUAGUCCAGGGAAAAGUGUAUUUGACCUGACCGAAAUUCAGUGUCCUCGUUCUUGCCACUGACUGGCUUCAUGAUUUAGGACAAAUCACUGAUAAGACGCCUAGGUUGUGACUCCAGCCAUUCAGUGGCUAUUGUGACCUCAGGCAAAUUACCCUCUAAGGGCUUUAGUUUCAUCAUCUGAAAAUAAGGGCAAUAGGAUCAUAAAAUUGUUUGAGGAUUACACAGAUUAAUCUGUGUGAAGCACUUAGAAGAGUGUGGGCUUAGAGGAAAUGCUAUGCAAGUCGAGUUACUCUAUUGUUAUCGCUGUUAAUAAUAGUGGUGGAGCCUCACUCAGUUGCUUCAUCUCCAGAUUCAAGCAAACAACACAGCCCUCGCUUAUGUUAAAGAAGGAACCAGUCUUCUGUGGGGUACUCAUUUAAGGGGGUCUUGCUGUUCACCUUGGACCAUUUAUUUCUCUUCCCUGAUUUCAACACAGGUACUCUUGAGAGGAGUAAGACUUUGAACUGAGCAAGUGGCCGGAGGUUCCCAAAAGAUUUGAGAAUAUGGAGGGUGAGAAGAUGUUCAUAACUAUCCUAGGAUGAGCUUCCUCAGAAGACUGGCACGAAAAUAAAAAGAGAUGAUACAUUGAGAUAUGCUUUCAGAAGAAGAGAGGAAAGAAUAAAUAAUCUGAUAGUAUAUUUCAGUGCUAUUAAGGCUUACUAUUUAUUUCUUUUUUCUUUUUCCCUUUUACUGCUGCACCUGGAGCAUAAGGAAGUUCCCAGGCCAGGGGUUGAGUGGGAGCUGUAGCUGCAGGCCUACACCACAGCCACAGCCAGCCAGAUCUGUGACCUACACUGCACCUUGCAGCAAAGCCAGAUCCUUAACCCACUAAUAAGCAAGGCCAGGGAGUGAACCUGCAUUUUCACGAAGGCUAUGUCGAGUUCUUCACCCACUGAGCCACAGUGGGAACUCCCUACUUAUUUCUUAAUUGGAAGUUGCUGACUAAAGACUGUACAAAAAAGUCUAGGUACAGUAUUGAAGUAUAUAGAAACUAAUUUUCAGACUGUGAAGCCUUAGGCACAUCUUGUUAAAACAGGGGGCAGAAUUCGUUAAAACACUGAUGAAGGGAGUAGGUUUAUCUGAACACUUUUUUGCCAGGGGCAGAGCCUCUCUGGGUCUUCCUGUCUUUCGCUCCCUGGGUGGCUGCGGAAGAGUGCUUGUAGAGAACGUGGCCAGGAUGACUGAUUGCCCGAGGCUUUGGUCCCCAAACUGUGGCUGAAUCCCUCCGGAACAUGGCUGUCCUCGCCAAGUUAAUCUUAAAUAGCUUUCAUGGUCAGGGAAGAUAUCCUUAGGAAAUCUCUGAAAUCUGUUACAAGCUCUGUUCCCCUUUUCCAAUCAAAUGGGGAUUAUCUAGAAUUGGUGGUUUCCUUCAAAUUUCAAAACAAGCAUAGAGGUCCAGGAGCCUGUGAUUUCAGGCUGAGUCUCACUGUUCUGGUUUAUUUGGCACAGAAGGGGAAGCAAAAAUUCACAAGAGCUGGAAAAGAAAGCAUGCAAAAAUUGGAGUGGAGUAACACUGGCUAUCUCUGGACAAGCCAUCUAUCUUAGCAAAAGUCAGCAAAGCUGAAGAGAGACUGUUCCCCUAUACCCACAUUUCUCUUGGCUUUUCAAGCUCUUCUCAAGUCUCCUGGGUGAUUAUGGAGCAGCUGAGGCAUCCUGGGAGGAGGAGAAAGUAUGUGCACCAGGUCUGCUUCAUAAAGCAAGCGGGUCCGCCAAGAGAUCAGGCCAUAUAGUGAUGGCCAUUGUGAGGAGCUCAUCGCUUUCUCAACAGAAAACAAAAUAAGAAAGAGAUGUGGUUCCUGCCUCAAAGAAUAGCUUUCCUUGCUCUAAAGUGGUAGUUUCCAAACUUUAUUAUCAGAAAUUCCUAGCAGUAAAUUAAAAAUAAAAUUGAGGACUUACUAUACACACGUGUGUUUGUGUGAGUGUGUGUGUGUGUGUGUGUGUACUACUGAAUUAAUACACUAUGUGUGUUAUAAAACAGCCAGGGAGUUCCCGUCCUGGCACAGUGGUUAACGAAUCCGACUAGGAACCAUGAGGUUGCGGGUUCGAUCCCUGCCCUUGCUCAACGAUCCGGCGUUGCCUUGAGCUGUGGUGUAGGUCGCAGACGUGGCUCGGAUCCUGCGUUGCUGUGGCUCUGGCGUAGGCUGGCAGCUACAGCUCCGCUUCGACCCCUAGCCCGGCAACCUCCAUAUGCCGCAGGAGCAGCCCAAGAAAUGGCAAAAAAAAAAAAAAAAAAA
Molecule: long non-coding RNA, 7274 nt
Filed under: Sus scrofa (pig)
Lineage: Eukaryota; Metazoa; Chordata; Mammalia; Artiodactyla; Suidae
Description: lncRNA (ENSSSCG00040076059.1)
Source: RNAcentral